GCAAACUUGGUCAUUUAGAGGAAGUAAAAGUCGUAACAAGGUUUCCGUAGGUGAACCUGCGGAAGGAUCAUUAACGAGUUAGGGUCUCCGUGGCCCGACCUCCCAACCCUUUGUGUAUUGAACCUGUGUUGCUUCGGCGGGCCCGUCGUGAGAACGACCGCCGGAGGAUCGUCGAGAGGCGUCCUCUGGUCCGCGCCCGCCGGUGGCCUACACCUAUAAACUCUGAAUGAAUCAUGUCCUACGUCUAAGUUUUUUUGAUAAAUUAAAGCAAAACUUUCAACAACGGAUCUCUUGGUUCUGGCAUCGAUGAAGAACGCAGC
Molecule: unclassified non-coding RNA, 320 nt
Filed under: uncultured fungus
Lineage: Eukaryota; Fungi
Description: partial contains small subunit ribosomal RNA, internal transcribed spacer 1, and 5.8S ribosomal RNA
Rfam family: Eukaryotic small subunit ribosomal RNA (bases 1-73)
Source: RNAcentral